This 73-nucleotide transfer RNA is filed under the name Nitrososphaeria archaeon. RNAcentral's name for it is "tRNA-Val". It matches the Rfam family "tRNA". Rfam says of the family: Transfer RNA (tRNA) molecules are approximately 80 nucleotides in length. Their secondary structure includes four short double-helical elements and three loops (D, anti-codon, and T loops). The record is from RNAcentral. RNAcentral also lists the same sequence under 1 other name. Lineage: Archaea; Thermoproteati; Nitrososphaerota; Nitrososphaeria.
GGGGCCGUGGUCUAGCGGUUAUGACGCCGCCCUGACGCGGCGGAGGUCGCCGGUUCGAAUCCGGCCGGCCCCA